This 271-nucleotide ribosomal RNA is filed under the name uncultured archaeon. RNAcentral describes it as "partial 16S ribosomal RNA". It matches the Rfam family "Archaeal small subunit ribosomal RNA", at positions 477 to 747 of the family's 1478-position model. The record is from RNAcentral.
CAGCGCCACGAGUGGGGAUCACGAUUAUUGGGCCUAAAGCGUCCGUAGCCGGCUUGAUAAAUCUCUUGUGAAAUCGUUUGGCUCAACCAAACGGCGAGCAGGAGACACUAUUAAGCUUGAGACCGGGAAGGGUUAGAGGUAUGUUUGGGGGAGCGGUAAAAUGCUAUAAUCCCUUACAGACCAAUGGUGGCGAAGGCGUCUAACUAGAACGGAUCUGACGGUGAGGGACGAAAGCCAGGGGAGCAAUCCGGAUUAGAUACCCGAGUAGUCU